RNAcentral lists this long non-coding RNA (12078 nucleotides) under Marmota monax (woodchuck). The record is from RNAcentral. Lineage: Eukaryota; Metazoa; Chordata; Mammalia; Rodentia; Sciuridae.
UACAGUUAUUCUGCAAUUUCUUAGAGCGAGUGAGGUUGCCUCUGUGAACGCUGGUGGGCUUUUUAAUACUGGCCUGUGGCUCUGCCCUCAGAGCAGGGAAGCUCCUCCUCUUGCUGGUUCCCCUUUCGGAUGUUUCCUCCCCAGCUGAAGAGGCCGGCAGGCAGCCAGGAUGGGACACAGCUCACAGGACCCCCACCUCUGCUGGACCACCAGGCUCCUGGGAGUCAUUAGCCUGCUCUGUGAGUAGCUGGAUUUCCUGGAAGGGAGGGCAGUUGGGGGGUGCUGGGACAGCUGGGACCCUUCAGUCCUGGGGGCUGUUAGGCUCUGAUGCCUUUGGGAAACAAAGAGAAAGCCAGCCGCCCUGUUAUAAUUCACCAGUGCAGUGUGGGUAGAGCCCAGGAUGAAUGGAAAGAGCAAAAUGGCCUUUUGGUGGUGAGGACCUGGGACCCUGGGCUCAGGCAGCCCUGGCUGCAUGAGGGACCAUAGCCAGGGAGCUGAGGCCACCUGGGCUGCAGCAGCAGGGAGGGGCUGGAGCUGCCUGGGGAGGGGUAUGGAGACAGACCAAGAGCCUGUUCCUGGGGCACAGGGUGAGGAGGCAGCACCCCAGCCUGGGCCCCCAGGGUCCUCAGGGCCUCUGCAGCUCUUCUGUGGAGGCCCCUACUGGAACCCUGGUGUCUGAGCCGGAGGAAGCUCCUCUGGUCUGUGCUCCUUCCCCCCCCCCCUGAAAUGCCCCUGGCUGGGAGACCUCAGCUGGAACCUUGCUUAUCUCAUCACUGUUCCUGGCAAAGCCCUGGAAAAACAGGAGGCACCGUCAAUUGAGGAAAGAUUGAGCAAACUGAGCAGUAUCUGGGGCUCCUGUGCAUGGGAUGUCAUGGAGGCUAAGGAAACAGUGCCCCAGUGUUCUGGGAAGAAUGUCCAGUUUCCAUGAGGGAGAUGCCUGGAUUCUCCUCAGCAAGAUCGAGAGAACCGAGCGCCAUGAAGUCCUUAUUUUAUAAAAGGACAAGCAGCGGGCUGAGGCUGGGGCUGGGGCUCAGUGGUAAAGCACUUGCCUAGCACAUGUGAGUCACCGGGUUUGAUCCUCAGCUCCACAUGAAAAUAAAAUAGAGGUUAUUGUGUCCACCUACAACUAAAAAAAGCAAAAACCAAAUAUUUAAAAAACAACAAAAAGGUCAAGCUGCCUCUAAAACUGAGGGUGUCUAUGUACCACGUGGCUAUGGUUACAUUGAACAUGUAGAAGGAAACAACGGAGGGUAACACAGGUUUCAGGAGCAGGUAAAAUUGUGCAGGAAAAUAUGCCAGGGGAGAGAGGAUGGGAGGUUAAACAGAGGGCUGAAAAAUAUAUUCUGAAAAACAGAAACUGAAAAAAUACACUGAUGGUGACUAUGGGCCACAUAUCACAUUUAUGACAUAAUAGAAUGUUUGUAUGUAGAAGGAAAUCAAAAGCUAACAAACAUAACAUGACCUACUGAACUGAAUUUUGGUGACAGCUUUAAAGGUGUUGAUAUUAGCUUUUUCUAAUUGUACUUAUUAGUAGGAUUCAUUGUAACAUCAUGUACAUAAGAUGAUUUGUUCCAGAUAAUUCCCCAGUACUUCCUCUUUUUGUUCUCCCUCCCCCUUCCAACUUUCUCUACUGUUUUGUCUCCUAUUUUAAUAUAUGAUUAUAUUGUAAUCAUACAUAAAAGUGGUAUUCAUUGUGGUAUAUUCAUACAUGCAUAUGGCAUAAUUUGGUUCAUUUUUCUUGUACUAUUCUGUUGUGUUCCUUGACCAAACACUCGGGGUCACUCCAGGUGAACUGGGCUGCAUGAAAUCACCACACAGAGACAGAGAAAUACCUUUUUCUUUGGCUCCUCUGAACUUAGGGGUCCUGGGGGGGGGGGGAGAGAGAGAGAGAGAGAGAGAGAGAGAGAGAGGGAGAGAGAGAGAGAGAGACAGACAGACAGACAUGAUGAACACUUUCAUUGAUAAGAAGCCAUUCAAAUUUGGCAAGAGGUCAGGUUUCAGGGGGUUGAGUCUAGAGCUUCAUGAUGUCUGCUGUCAGCAGGUUGACCAGCAUCUAGGGAGGCCAUGCCUAUCUAUGAGCUGUGUGGGGAUCAUGGCAGAGUGACCUAAGAAAAGACCAGAGUGAGGCCUGCCCAAACAGAGGGGCAAUGUCGGUUCAGUCCACUUUGUGUGCUCAGUGCCCACAGUUCACACACACACACCUCAUGGCUGGUUGGCCACAUCUCCACACUCUCAUCACUCAAGGGUAAGGGGCACUCGGUUCUAUUUGGCAGCUCCCGAUAUAGUUCCCCUUUCUUAAUUUAAAAAAAAAGGCAAUUGGGGAAUCAUAUCUUGCAGUCACUGGAUUCUUGGUCCAAGGUCAUCAUGAUCUACUAUUGAAACACAAAAAGUUUUGUAGAAAACAUAUUAUCUUAAUAACAUAAUCAACCUGGAAGAUCCCGGUUAUUAUUAUUAUUCUGCAAACAUUCAUCAGGAGAUUCUUAAUCUUUUACAAAUUUCAUGGGAAACAUUGUGUUUGGCCAUUGUAACAUAAACAUUUUUAUUUAGCAUGGCAUUUAAGCCUUUCCACAAACCAUAGAGCAGAGGGCUCAUUCACAAUAUUGAUGACAGUGGCUUCUAGAGUAUUUUAAUUUAGUUUUAAUUCUUUCAUUAUCACUUAUCUGAGUAUGAAGGAUCUUGGAAGUAAUUUAAGUAAUUUAAGCUUGCCUAGGUCUGGUUAAUUGACAUGCACUUGUUUCAAAGCCUGAACAUUAACUACAGCAUAUUAUAGCUCGGAAAUAUUAGCUGGCAAUAACCCAUGAUACAGCAAGAUAAGUUGUAUUCUUACAGGCUACAGGAUAUUCAUCUUCCUUUUUCUUAAUUCUCACAUUUAAGGAGUCUAUUAGGUCUGUCAGUAAUAUAAAUAUUUUGAAGGUAGAAGUCAAACAUCAAAACAUCCUUUUGGGUGCCAUCUCACUGAGGGUGAGGGUAUUAUUACCAAUAAACCUCCAGGGAUUAUGGCAUCCUUGCACAAUCAUGGUUGUCAACUCUGGGAGCCAGUCUAAAAUAUGCCCAAUAUCUCUAGACACCUUAUGUUGCACUGCCAAGACAUUUGCAUAAUCUAUCCUGUUAGGAAAGGUGUCAAUUUCUACUGUAGAAUGAUUAGGGAAACAAUAUAUUGGUGGAUAUUUUAAUAAAUAACUGGCCUGUAUAGGAAAAUAUAUUUUAAUAAUCUUUCUGAUAAUUGUCCAGAUAGGUCAAUAUAGUCUUCAUCUCUAGGACCAGCAUGAUUGGCUGGUUUAAGUUUCUUAUAUGUGGUCUUUUUCUCAAAAGACACUCCCAGACAGCCUGUUUACCAUAGGAUCAACAUGUAGGUCUAACUGACCAGUAUAGUCAGUACAGUUAAUUUAGUUUCACUGAUGGACUUUCCAGUCCCCUGCAAUGCACGUUAAAAGUGGACCUGAGAAAUGGGUCCAUAGAAGUUUUUUCAUGGUUUUACUUACCUGACACGCUCAUGAAGCUGCAUGGUUGUAAACUCUGCAGUUGGGAGAUUUACUUCCUGUGUCAGGUUUUUCAGUCAUUUUCAUGAUGACAGGUUUCAACUCUAUCUUUUGAAAUCUGAUUUAAGGUACUGAAUCAUGUUCAGUAACAGUAAAGCUCUCAAUAAAACAAUUAAGAAAAAAUUUAAAAAUAUUUGGUAAGAUCUAAUAUGUGUCUGUGGGGUCCUGUUUUCCCCCUUUUCUUUAUUUUAAAGGCCUGGUAUAAAUCAUAAUAUAAUUAGUUUAAAUUAUAAGGAGCCCUCAAUCUCUUCUUGAGAGAAGGUUUCAUAAUAUCUUAGAAUGUUAUCCUUUAAAUAGGGGUCUCAAUUGUCCUUUUAGAAAAUAUGAUUAAGGUUACUUCCCUCUGUGGGGAGUAGUAUAUAAAUCUUACCAUAUUCUUUAAUGAAUAAUAGGUUCAGUGAAAGAACUUACAUAAUACCAAUGAAUUUCCAACAAGUUUUGCAACUUCCAUGUUCAAGACCCAUGUACAACCUUGAUUUGGAGAACAUCAGUCCUAAGAAAAUGUUCUCUCAAAUCUCACAACAAUCCAACAAACAAAAGUUAUAUGCAAGGAUCAGCAGUGUCUUUGAAUCAUCAAAUUUAAUCUCCAGGGAGAAUUGUCAAAAUUGGGAUCUAAGUUAGCAGUUUAAUAUAUUUAGUGUUUAAUUAAAGAUGUGAAUUUAUUCACUAAAAAUAAUCUUUGCCUUAAACAGUAAGAAUCAUUGGGAAAUAAAGACCUUCCUUUAAGGAAAUAAACUUAAUAUUGUAAUAGGUCUUUAUCAUGUAAAAAUGUGGACAAAAUCUCAGCUCACAUCAGUAUAGUAAAAUCAGGGAAAUAGCCUUAAAUAGCCUUGAAUUAAUCAGCUAAAAUUUUUAUCGUCAGUGCAGUAUAUACAGCACCUGUCUAGAUAAUCAUAUGAAGAUUUUCCUAUAUAGUAAAAUACUUUUAUCAUUAAAAUCUAGAAUAUAAAGACCUUGUUUUACCCAAAGAUGAUUUCUGUUUUGUUCUGAGGACCUCCAAUGUGUGUUUCCUCUCUGUUGAUGCAUCUUCUUUUCCUUUUAGAAUUUUUCUUGGUUAUACUUUGGAAUAAUUUUUGAAAACCUUAGAAUCUAAACAAAUUAUUGUACUUUGAUAAGAAAUAUCUCAAUGAAAGUAUAGUUAAAGUCCGUGGAUGUUUCUGUAGACAGAAUUAUAUUUGUUUAUUAUUUUAUAAAGUUUGUACAAUAAUUUGAGAGUUAGAGAUUACUCGGUGGUUGUUUUAUGUCUUGAAAGUAAAUUCAUAGAAAAAUAAUUUAUUUCAAAUAUCUGAAACUAAAAGGCAGAGUAUCAGAUAAAUGCAUGUAAAAGAAAUAUAUAAAUUUUGUGUUUUCUAUUGAAGAAAAACAACAAAUAAAUAUAUAUUAAUUAAAAAAUUAGACAUAUAUGUUAAUUAUUUUAUGGAGUAAUAUAGGUUAUUCAAAUAUCUAGAAAAAUAUAUAAUAUGAAUAAGGGCAUAACUUAUAAUCGUAUAAACUUCAUGUAACCAUGUGGUUCUUAAUUUUGGAUCCAUUUCGAUUUAUUCUUAACUAGGAGUGCACUCUUAUUUGAUGUCACGUGAUGCAGCUAAAAUAAGAUCCUUGUGUAUAUUGUAUUCAUUUUUUUUUAAAAUUACAUAGUUAGAAUUGAAAAGAAUAAGGAUUUUUUGGUAACCAUAGGAACAUUACUGGCUUUGUUUCUUUGACAAGCAAAUGCAUCCUCAUAACCUUCAAAAUUAGAAGCAAAAUAUACAGAAGCAUAUGUAUUUCUUUUUUUUUUUUUUUUUUAAUUUUUUUUUUUUAAUUUUGGAUCCAUUUCGAUUUAUUCUUAACUAGGAGUGCACUCUUAUUUGAUGUCACGUGAUGCAGCUAAACUAAGAUCCUUGUGUAUAUUGUAUUCAUUUUUUUUUUUAAAUUACAUAGUUAGAAUUGAAAAGAAUAAGGAUUUUUUGGUAACCAUAGGAACAUUACCGGCUUUGUUUCUUUGACAAGCAAAUGCAUCCUCAUAACCUUCAAAAUUAGAAGCAAAAUAUAAAGAAGCAUAUGUAUUUCUUAUAAUUGUUAUAUAGCUCUGCAGUUUUUCCUAAUAGUGCUCGCUGCAGCGCGUGUUCUCCUAUCUUUUGUAUUUUCCCUUGCAGCACGUGGCACCUUAGAAGUGAGUUUUAAUGGCAGACGCCAGUGUUACUAUCAGAUGUUAAGGCGGUCUGCGUUUGGCACCCAGGCCAGGUUGUUUAAGGGUUAAAGGCACUGCUGGAGGUGGGUCCAGUUACAGACCCCAUAGGGAACAGCUGCUGAGUUAUAGACAUUCUGAUCCAAUGGGACAAGAAUGUAGCAAAGAGGUUCAGUACACACUGAGUAUUCACAAAAAUAAUAGAAAAAUAAAAUUCACCUCUCUACAGGUAAAGAAUCCUUGUAUCAAAUCUCAUCACAAAAUCUUUUUUUCCUGUUUCUUACUCCCUAAGCACAGACUUUUAGUACAUAAACCCCAAAAAUCUUUAUCUAAUAUUCCAAAAUAUAAAUAUUCACAAAAAACAAUCCAAAAAAGUCCAUAAAAGUGCUUUUCCCAUGGGAGAGGACUGAACCUAACAUAUCCCAUUAAUCAUCUUAAUAAUUUUUACAUUUAUUUAGGGUCUCUAGAAUUGCAAAAAUAAGGUUUUCUUCUAAAGACAUAAUAUUCACAAAUAUUAAAAAAAGUUUAACGUCACAGAUUUCCCUUCUGUCUACUUUCUACAAUUCAGCCCACAAUACUCUGACAUCCUAAGCAUGCUUAACUUCUGGAGAGAAAUUCCAAACCCACUAAAUUUCUAAAAAUCACCCUGCAGUCACCUUACAGGCCACCGAUUGUCACGUUCCACGACUCGACACUCAGGGUAGCUCCAGGUGAACUGGGCUGCGUGAAAUAAUUAUAUAGAGACAGCAAAAUACCUUUUUCUCUGGGUCCUGAGAUGGCUCCUCUGACUUUAGGGACCUUUGGAAAGAGAGAGAGGGCUCCUGUGCUGAACCCUUUUAUUGGGAAGAAGCCAUUCAAAUGAGGCAAGGGGUCAGGUUUCAGGGGGCUGAGUCUAGCUCCAUGAUGUCUGCUGUCAGAGGGUGACCAGCAUCUAGGGAGGCCAUGGCCAUCUAUGCGCUGUGUGGGGAUCAUGGCAGAGUGAGCUAAGAAAAGACCAGAGCGAGGCCCACCCAAACAGUGGGGCAACGUGGGUCCAGGCCACCUUGGGUGCUCGGGGCCCACAGGUCACACACACAGCCCGUGGCUGGUGGCCCCAUCUCCACACUCUCAUCACUCAAGGACCAGGGGCUGCAGCAGCUCCCAUACUAUUCUUCCUAUUUACUUCUAUCCUCCCUCCCCCUUGGCCCUGACCUUUCCUCUAGCAUUUUCCUUCCACUAUUAUGAAAUACUGCACUUAAAAAAAUUUUUUUUUUCUCUAACUUCUUCAUGGGAGAGAAAAUAUUGAACCCUUGACUUUCUGAAUCUGGCUUAUUUCACUUAGCAGGAUGUUCUCCAAUUCCUUUCAUUUUCCUGCAAAUAACAUCAUUUUAGUCUUCAUGGCUGAGUAAAAUCAUAUAUUUGUCACACUUUUAAAAUUUGUUGGUCUGUUGAUGGACACCUUGGCUGGUUUCCUACCUUGGCUAAUUGAAGUGUACUAUCUAUAGACAUUGAAAUUCGUGUACUGCUAUCAUACACUGAUUUCAGUUGUUUUGGAUAACUUGGUGAAAGCUGUUACUGUUAUAGUUAAAAAACAAACAAACAAAUAAACCAGCUACUAAGUGAACUUGCAAGGAAUUAUAUGCAAUUUAAUGGGUUAGAGAGCACUUGUGGAAUAGGACAUAUUCAGUGAACAAUGAACUUUGCAAGUGUAAGGGGCUAGGACCCCAUUUUAAAUGGGCAACUGUUUGGCAUCCAGUGGCACCUCAGUUAGUGUGUGGUACUUAUGAAUGGACAACUUUUUCUUUCUUUUUUUUAAAGUGGACAACUUUUUGUGAACAGCAAAGUAUAGACUUUCCCCAUUUCACAAUGCUGUGUAAAUAAGAAGUAUGUUAAAUGGUGUAGUGUUUUCUUCAGUAGGCUCUGGGGUUGGAAAAUUAUGGAGGGAAAGAAAAAAGAAAAGGGAGGAAGAAAGAUGAGAAGGAAAGCAGGGAAGAGGGAGGGAAGGAGGGGGUGGGAGGAAAGACUCCACAUUUCUCAUUUAGGGAUUCCCAAUCUGAAUCCAGAGGGAGACAGUGACUCGCUCAAGGCCACACAGGAACUGGGAAGGUUGAAAUGGUUGCCCCACAGGCCUGCCCUCCGUGGACCCAAAUGGGACAAACCUGGUUGCAGAGGAGCUUUGUAAGAGGCUCUUGGUGGAAGGAGCCUCACCCCUAAAUUGCUCUGCAUCCUUCCUGGAAGCCUGGAGUCCCACGGUUGCAUUUUUCUUUGGUUUCUGGAUUGUCCCCUGUUCACUCAGCCUUGCUUGGGGGGAGAGAUGGAGGUGAAGCAGUGAUUGAGAGAGUGGUGGUGAACUUCCCCUAUUAAAUCACAAGCCCUUUCCCGCAUGUGGUGGAUGGGGAAGUGUGGAAGGGAAGGAGGGAACCUGAGGACAGCUAGUUUCACAUUGGAAUUUUCCAGAGACACUGGUGACUGCAGAGGGUGUGGUUCUGGACUUGUGGGGACUCCCCCACGUUGAUAGCAACAGCAUUUACUGAAUGCCCUGUUCUGCUGGCAGGGAGCUGGAGAAGGGUCUGGGUCACUAUGGACCCCAGAGAGAGACACAGAGACAGUGGAGAGGUCAUCAAGGAAGGUACUUAGGGCUUCAUGCAUCAGCUGACAGGGAACUGCUGUUUGCAUGAGAAGGAGGUGAUAGGGACACGACGUUAUGACAUACAGAGGAACCAUGUUCUAUGCCCACGGUUGCAUUUUUAAUUUUGUAGUAUGAACUUCACCCUCUACCUGGUAAAGCCCAUAUGCUCCAUGGCUCCUCUUUCCUUGUUUAGGAUGAGCAUCUUCUGUAGGUCAGAGAGCUCCUGCUGCCUCCCCUCUCUACCUCCCUCCUCUGUCUUGCUGAUGUCACCCACCAUUGGGCCUCAGGGGCUGAUCCUCCCACAGGCUGAGGCUGACCCUCCUCUGUAUUUGUGGUUCCCUCUUCUAGGAAGUGGGAGUCUGGGCAGGCUGGCUGUCCAACCCUGGGCGAGCCAGAAGUCUCAGCUGUGCUCAGCCACUCCAAGGACUCUGUCCCUGCAGGGGGGACAGUUGGAGGAUGAGACUCCAUCAGCUGCUCAGGCCCUGGAGGGACCAGGUAACAGCUCAGGGAGGGGCAGAGCUCCUAAUGGGCAGGGAGAUGGGGAGAGCUGACGGGCAGCAUCCUGGGCUCCAGGACUGGCUGUGCCCUGUGUCACCAGGACAAGUCCACUCCCCAGGGACCCCCUGCUCUCUAACAGGAGGGGCUUGACAGCUCACCUCUGAAGCCCCUCCAGGGUGACCCAGGGCUUCCUCACACAGGGCUUUCUGUGGCCACUGCAAGGCCUCUGCUCUGUCUUUCUCGUCCUGACCUGUCCUAUCCUGUCACCUGACAGGGAGUCACAGCUGGGGAGCCUGUUUAGGGCUCCUUAAGAGAGGACACCCUGAGCUGUCCCUGUGGCCAUUUCUUCAGCCCCCAAGGGAGGGAGGAAAUCCUGCUCCUCAGCUCCUCCACCUGACCUGGUCUUCUCUGCCUCUGCUCCUGAGGGGGACCUCAGGGCUGGUGUCCUCAGAUCUCCUGCCCAAGGACUCUCCCUCCUCACACCCUUGCAGAUGUGGUCUGCACACCUUGCCCAGGAGGCCAUGUUGCAGCUGUGCCCUUUAGACCAGCUGAUGAAAGCCUCUGCCAGACCUUGAGGUUCCUGUUCAGCACAAAACACUGGCUUCCCUGCAGGACCCUCCUACAAUGCUGGCAGGGGGACACAGACACUGUGGUGACCACAAUGACCUCAUCAAAUCCCUGAGGAUGGUCUGAAAUACAGGCUGUCAGAGCACCCCAUUGCGCUGUUUCCCCAUGGGAUAGCAGGCUGUUUCUCUGGGUACUGCAUUAAACAGAGCACUUAAAUGUACUGACCACCACUGUACUGACAGCCAGCAAGCGCCUGCUGUCCAUGCACAGAGAAACCAACACGGCACCAGGUUUUGCAAGAAGAAAGAACUUGAUAGUUGCUCCCCUGACAGGGAGAGAGGAGGCAGGCACACUCUGUCUCCCCAGGGAGCAGGAAGGGACUUAAGGCAGGGAUGAGAAACAGAAGGCCAGCUGGCUGGAGUCGGGAGUCUUGGUGGCAUGGUCCACACCAGGUGCCCUGGGCCUGGUGGAACCUCUGGGUACUUUGUGAGUGCACUGGUCUCUCUGACCCCAUGCUCCCUCCUGCAGCUGUGGCUGCACCCUGGCUUCUAACCCAGGUCCACAAGACCCUCUUCUGGUUCCUUGGCUUCUCAUCCUUGGAGACUUUUGGUUCCUCUCAGCUCUCUAGGUCUGCAGCUGCAUCCUGAAAAAACAACUUGCAAAGAGUUUUUACAAACAGGGAAGUUGUGGUGUAUGGCCCAUUUUCACACCCAGAAUUACAUAUUUAAAUGUGUUAAACUCUGAUUAGGCUGGAUGACCACAGUGCUAAAGGAUACUUGUAUUUUGCUUAUUAAUUAAAGAGGGAACCAUAGGAUGUCACAGCCCUUUCAAAGGGAGAAUGAAGGGCACCUCAGGCCAGUGGGAAGGUUGAGAGGCAUUUAUUAAUAGAUACCCAGGCUCACAGGGCUGGAUUGUCUCUGGGCACACGUCAUUUCCAGUGCUUACCUUGGGAUGGGGCACAAUUUGCUUUCAUUUGAAAACUCCACAACUUGGAUACUUGUUUUCAAUGUAACAUAUGAUACUUUUGUAUUAUAGAAUAACUNGUCCUUGGAGACUUCUGGUUCCUCUCAGCUCUCUAGGUCUGCAGCUGCAUCCUGAAAAAACAACUUGCAAAGAGUUUUUACAAACAGGGAAGUUGUGGUGUAUGGCCCAUUUUCACACCCAGAAUUACAUAUUUAAAUGUGUUAAACUCUGAUUAGGCUGGAUGACCACAGUGCUAAAGGAUAAUUGUAUUUUCUUAUUAAUUAAAGAGGGGACCAUAGGAUGUCACAGCCCUUUCAAAGGGAGAAUGAAGGGCACCUCAGGCCAGUGGGAAGGUUGAGAGGCACUUAUGAAUAGACACCCAGGCUCAACGGGCUGGAGUGUCUCUGGGCACACGUCAUUUCCAGUGCUUACCUUGGGAUGGGGCACAAUUUGCUUUCAUUUGAAAACUCCGCAACUUGGAUACUUGUUUUCAAUGUAACAUGAUACUUUUGUAUUAUAGAGCAACUCAAGAAGGGGAAGACAGGCAACCUGCAUUAAUAAUAUAAAAUUUAAAAUCUUCAUUCAAGCCUGGGAAAACAAGUCCUUCCCUCCACCUUCCCACUCCCACUCCUGGAUGCACAGGGGUCCUGUGGUGCUUGGUAAUGGUGCCUGCAUCACAGUAAAUUUCCUUUUAAACUUGACUUUUAUAAACAGGAAAGCCCUGGCUGGACCUUGACACCUACAGGCACCAAGGAGAUUGAAGCCACAGGAUGUGUGACUCCUGCAUCCCAUCCCUGUACUCAGGAGGAGACUCCCAAGAGGGGCAGCUGAACAGGAGGAAGGGACACCAGCCUGGAACUGGGAAUGUGUGGUUCUGACCUGGGGGUGCUGGUCCACUAAUGCCCAUCAUGAUAACAACAGCAGUGAAUGGGAACAGCACAGUUAUUGAAUACUGUGCCCAAAGCUCUUUCUGCUUACAUCCAAAGAAGAAUUCACUGAAGUAAGCACCAUCACUCCCAUUUCAUAGGUGACAAAACUGAAGCCAGAGAGGUUCAGUAACUGUUCAAGUUCACACAGCCAGAAGAUGGGGGACCUAGACUAACUCUGACUUCACUGAGGUGAAGUCCAACCUUGUAACUACUCUUUGGUACCAUCCAGCUGUGGGACCUAGCUGAAACCAAACUUAAUUUUGGUUGAUCGAAACCUAACAAUAAAUGUUGAAACCACAAAAAGAACUUGAAGAAAACUAGAAAAAAUGAGAAACAUACUUUUGAAGGUAGGGCUAUCCUUUUAAGCAAGAUAUGAAACCAAUAAGUACUAAAAAAAACUUUUGAUACCUUUGAGUUCAUGAAAUAACAUUUUCGACUCCUGGGUAAAAUAAACUGUAAUAGAUUUAAUGGAAUUCUUACAAAAUUCCAGUAAGAUUUUUCACAGAAAAAAAAAUUCUCCAAAAAAUUUGUAUGGAAUCAGAAAAGACCCCAAAUAGCAAAAGCAAAAAGAAUAAAACUGAAUCUCACUCCCUGAUUUGAAAAUACAAUGUUAUUGAAAUUGAAACAGCAGGGUAUUGGCACAAAAACAGACACAUUGACCAAUGGAAAAAAAAGAAAUUCCAUAAAUAAACCCAAUGUUUACAGUCAGUUGAUGUGAUGUUUGACAAAUGUGCUAAGAAUAUACAUCGGGGAAAGGACAGUGUGUUCAGUAAAUGCAUAUGGGAAGAUGGGAGGAAUAGAGGAACUUUA